CCAUGUGCACAGUGAUUCACAUCAACGAGCAGUUUACAGUUGGAACAAGAGGAAACAAGAGAGAGCACAGAGGAAGCCACAUACAGUAGGGCAUGAGCAGAACAUGCAGUAACCUGCAAUUAGGAUUGAAUCUGAGACCCUGGAGCUUUGCCAGUUUACACCACCUCUAUAAAUGCCAAAAUGGCAAGCUAUUUCAGCGCGUCCCCAAUGGCUCAGCGGCUCUUUGACUGACAGCUCGACAGGCUGCUUUUGGAGUGCUACCACAUGGACCGUGGGAGACGUAUUGAGAAGUCGGACUAACUUUUGGCACCCUGCAAUCCUCCCAUUUGAGAAGGAGCCCCUGUUCACACACUCCCUCCCUUCUGCCACACACACAGACUCAUAGACCCUCACGUAUGGCUCCACAUGGUCUCUGGGAGCGUGGCAGCGGUGUGCAGCGUCUCACACUCAAGGGGUGUGUCCCUUCGAAUGCCGGCAGAGCCAGGAGGCAGAGAGAGGGCUGCUGGGAAACAAUGGGCAAGACAUCUGUCAUGCAUGGCUGCACUCCCCUCCACUCACAAUGGAGCGAGGCGAGUGGCUAGUGGUGCUUUUCUUUUUUGGGCUUUCCUUUCCGGGGACAGCUCUGCACAGCACAAUGCUUCUUUUGUCCCCUCCCUGCUUUUGCCAACGUUUAACCCUUCAAACCUUUUUCUGCCUGGCUUUCUUUUUUUGUGCAGGAAAAUAAAAAACAAAAUGC
Long non-coding RNA from Tachysurus fulvidraco (yellow catfish), 736 nucleotides. RefSeq lists it as uncharacterized. The record is from RefSeq and is a predicted model, not a curated record. NCBI's taxonomy places the organism in Eukaryota, Metazoa, Chordata, Actinopteri, Siluriformes, Bagridae. The transcript has 3 exons.